UACGUAGGGUGCAAGCGUUGUCCGGAAUUAUUGGGCGUAAAGAGCUCGUAGGCGGUCUGUCGCGUCGGAUGUGAAAACCCAGGGCUCAACCCUGGGCCUGCAUUCGAUACGGGCAGACUAGAGUUCGGUAGGGGAGACUGGAAUUCCUGGUGUAGCAGUGAAAUGCGCAGAUAUCAGGAGGAACACCGAUGGCGAAGGCAGGUCUCUGGGCAUUAACUGACGCUGAGGAGCGAAAGCAUGGGGAGCGAACAGG
Molecule: ribosomal RNA, 253 nt
Filed under: uncultured bacterium
Lineage: Bacteria
Description: partial 16S ribosomal RNA
Rfam family: Bacterial small subunit ribosomal RNA
Source: RNAcentral